AGCAACAGGCUUUGGUGGUGGGGGAGGUGGGGGUAAAGGGAAAAGUGCUGUGUAUGGCUUUUCAUAUGUUAAUAAGUUGAUUCCAUGACAACCAUUGAAAAAGAAGGGCUCGAAACAAAAGCCGCUGCGAGAGAGGAUCAGUGCUCUUUCAUGGGCGCUGUAAGAAUAACAGCCGAGACUCCCUCCGCUGAAAGAUUCAAAGCCAGGGUUGAGUCUUCCUAA
RNAcentral lists this long non-coding RNA (222 nucleotides) under Bos indicus x Bos taurus (hybrid cattle). RNAcentral describes it as "lncRNA (ENSBIXG00000016137.1)". The record is from RNAcentral. Lineage: Eukaryota; Metazoa; Chordata; Mammalia; Artiodactyla; Bovidae.